GCUGGGGGAGAGCUGUCCCUCCCAAGGCCUGCAGUUGGGAGGGGGACUUGGGGGGCCGUCUAGGGGCCCUUUCAGGCUCCAUGGGACAUGGCCGCCCAGGCCGCCUUGCUGGGGCUCAUCUAGGAGUGGCGUUCCUCAUGUCGCCCUGAAGGCCAGCUCUGGACCUCCCCAGGAAAGUGCCACCUUGCAGAGCUGCUCCUCCGGAGCCCCGACCCUUGGGACACCCUCCAGCCGGCGGCCCCCAGUGGAGUGGGGGCUCCAGGAGGCCAGGCCUGGCUUGCUGACCUUGGACAGCAGCUGCAGGACGGGCCAGAGGGGGAGGCUGCCACCCAG
Molecule: long non-coding RNA, 333 nt
Filed under: Heterocephalus glaber (naked mole-rat)
Lineage: Eukaryota; Metazoa; Chordata; Mammalia; Rodentia; Bathyergidae
Description: lncRNA (ENSHGLG00100033339.1)
Source: RNAcentral